UUUUUUUCCUUUUUUUUUAGAGAUAAAUAGCACGCUAUCCGUUUCGUUUAUUUUAUCUAUAAAUAAACUUAACUGAAAAUGUGAAUCAACUAGAAUUCGAACUUACGAUCUCAGGUACCAACCACCAAGCUCUUUGCCACUUGUGCUAGGGAUGGUCGGCGCCUCUACCCUUUUGGCUGGACACAACUGCAUGGAGUGGAGCAGAAGUUUAUUUAAAUUGCCUACAAUACGUCAAAUAAAAUUAUAUAUAUAUAGAGAGAGAGAGAGUAAGGUUACUAUAUUUUUAUGAGUAUAGAGCCAUUUGUACAUAUAAAUUAUUUUCAAUGAUGGAGUUUCGGAAUCGACGAUCCACACCAUUAAACAUGAUGUAGAGUGUUUGAAACUUUUAAAAAAUAAAUUUCGUAAUUGUUUGAAAUCAUAAUAAAGUCCAUCAAGUGCGUAUAAAAUAAACGGUCAAAAUCGAAUGACGUCCUUAAAAAUGGAUGAUCGGAUCCCUUAAUUUAAGAUCGAAGUUAUUGAUUUUUAUUUAGAUAGUGAACAAAAUUUUCUAUCAAAAAUUCAACUUCUUUUACACCGUUAAGCUAGCAAGUAUCUCAUACCGGCCGUUAAAAAUUAUCGAUUUUGAGAUUUUUUGAUUGUAAGAUAAAUAAUUUCAAAAAAUUCUGAAAUUUAAUUUUUGGAAGUUUUAAAUGCUCUAUAUAAUAUUUAAUAGUAUGGAUCGUCGAUUCGAAAGUUUUAUCAUCGAAAAUGAUUUAUGAGUACAAAGACAAUCAUACUCAUAAGAGCAUCAUAGCCGAACUCAUAUAAAACUAGGCUAGAAUACUAUUAAUAACACCAAGUUAUUGAUGCUAUUAGAUUUUCGGUUCGUAGAUAAAAGAAUGUGUGGUUGGGAUGAUAGUGGUCCCCUAUGGUUGAGUGGAUGAUUGGUUGAAUAGUAUAUUCUAACAGAUGAAAAUGAUUAAAGAGUUAAAUCAAACAGUGAAAAACUUGAUAAUAUCAAGUGUUUAGUACUAUCGAUAAUAUCAUAGCCGAACUUUCUCUCUCUAUAAAUAUAGAAUUGAGCUUCUAUAUUUUUAAAAGUACAAAAUCAUUACAACUUAUAUAUUUUCGAUCUUUGGAUUAAGAAUGUAUAGUUAGAACGAUAGCGGCCCUCUAAGGUUGAGUGGGUGAUUGAUUUAAUAGUAUGACCUAAUAAAUAUAAAUGAUCAAAAUGAUGAAUUUAAUGAUGAAAAAAUUAUAAGUAUCAAGUGCUUUUAACGCACUAUAACCGGACUUUAUAUACUAUUUU
RNAcentral lists this long non-coding RNA (1288 nucleotides) under Ananas comosus (pineapple). RNAcentral's name for it is "long non-coding RNA (ACOM_LNC037435)". The record is from RNAcentral. Lineage: Eukaryota; Viridiplantae; Streptophyta; Magnoliopsida; Poales; Bromeliaceae.